UAAAAUGGGGAUACAAAUAACACUUACCUUGCAGGGUUGUUGUAAGUGUCAAAUGAUACUGAUAUGGUGUUUAGCACAAUUCCUGGUAUAUAGGAAGAACCGUAUAAAAGUUACCUCUUAGCUAUUAUUACCAUUAAAGAUAAUCUUAUAAAGGACUUUGAAAAAUACAUGUGUUAAUUGUACUAGGAGUGAUCUAGGGUCUGAGUAAUUGAAAGGUUUUGGUACAAUAUAUAAAAAAUUGCUAUGACUUCUCCAUAUUUAUGGAUUUUAUGGGAUCUUAUACGGGAGGCUGUUAUAAGAUUAAGCCUGCUGGUUUUGAGACUACUAUGACAGUUUUCCCUGAAGGGAGGCUGUAGUUUAUAGAAUCUAUGCAUGGAAACUGUGGUUAUAAGAUUAGGCCUGAUGGGCCUGAUGGUUUUGAGAGUACCAUGACAGUUUUCCCUUAAGGGAGGCAGUAAUUUAUAGAAUAUGCUAAUGGAAAAAGUACUGACAAUGAUAUUUUUCAAAGGUUGGUACAGCUGUGUUCCUCAAAUAAUAUUUUUCUACCACCAGAAAAACAAUGUCUCACUGAUAUGCGGCCCCCCAAAUAAUAUUUUGUUUUUCUCCUUGAUAACCCACCCAACAAUACUUUGUAUUACCACCUGCUUAUUUUUUUUUGAUAACACCCUCCCCCCGGUAAUAUUUUGCUCUGACCCCGAUACACAAUUUGGCCAGCUUCAGGAAGCCUUUCUAAAAAUCCUACUAUAAGAAGCUCAAUCUCAGAGAAGCACUGAAGCAUUCCUUUCCCUCCCUAAGGAGUUCACUUUCCUGCUGGAGUACCCCCAAAAGCAUUUCUCUUUGUUCUUCAAUACAGCACAGCCCUCAUGUGCCAGAAUUGUAUGUUAGAGCCCCCUUUCUUCUUUGUUUGGAAUAGAUUUUGCAUUGAAAGAAUUCCCAUUGUUUCACAUGUUAUUCUUAGCAAGAACUCAUUAGGGGAUGUUUUCCCCCCAAGUCGAUGGCCGGCUAUGGGCCUUAUCUAAAUUGAGUACAUGUUUGACAGUUUGCUUACACUGGGGGAGUAGGGCACUGUGAACUCAAUUGUAGAAAGCAAGGAUCAAUAGGGAAAACCCUAUGUCUUCCCAGGAGGGUCUCCCUGAUGCCAGAGGACUCUAUCAGAACAGAGCCACAGUAUCUAGAGAGCUGGUUUUUGAGCCAGGAAAUCUUAAGUUUUGGGGUCCUUCCUCUGAAACAUAGUGAUUCCAUGACCCUGGGCAAUUCCCCUAAUCAGGGUGCUGAAGCAAAGCGUAAAGAGAGUGGAGCUAGAGGGAAUUUUCUCCCAUUAAUGAAAUCACAGAUCCAUUCCCUGGCUUUACCCCUAUUCUAGAAAGGAUAACAUCAUCUUUGAUAUAAAGGGAAGGAAGGAACCCCGACCCAUUAUCCUUGCCCCAAAGCCCCUGAUCUUCCAAUAUUGGCUAUUUCUUGUCAAAGGUACUAACCACCAUCUUUCUAGACUUUUGGGUUUGAAAUUCUGGUGAAAUCUUCAAGUCCUCACUCCCCCUCAUGGCACAUAUCUAAUCUAGCCAUUUCCACCUCCUCAACAUCUGUUAGUCUCUCAGACUUAAGACAUUUCCCAGUCCAUCCUACUCUCUACACUGCUACUCAAAUGAUUUUCCUUAAAUGCAGAUCUGAUCAUGUCAUUUCCCACCCAAUCAGCUCCAGCAGUUUCCUAUUGUCUCAAGGUAAACUGCUCUGUUUGGGCUUUAAAAGCUCUCAGCCAACUGGCCUGCACCUGUCCUAAACCUCAUUGAACAUUACUCCCUCUCCCAUAUCCUAUGAUCAAGCCACCUGCUAUUCCCUAGGUGCAAGAAAUUUAGGCAAAUUGGCUUGAAAACGGCCUCCCAGUGAAUUGUAGGUUCAGUAGUUCUCAAUUAGCUCUGAGAAUAAGAGAGAACAACAAAGGGUCUAAGAGUGGGAGGGAGGCUGUGCUCUAGUCCCUGCUCUGAAGCCCUGGGCAGGCCUCUCAGUGCCUUUAAGGUGAGUGCCAUCCACAGGUCUGAGGUUGAAUUUUUUCUCCUCAGAAAGGCAUGCAAUUAUAAGGAUGUUGGAAUUGGAAGACUUGGGUCUGAACGCCUGCUGCACUCUGUAUUUUCAGAAGCUGGAGAACCUUCAGAGGAUGAUCAGGAUAUAAAGAGAACUUGAAACUGUGUGUGAAGAUGGGUUGGAGACUCUGGACAUCUUUAGCCUGGACAAGAAAUGACUUGGGAAAGAAUAUCUUAGUUUCUAAUGAUCAAAGCUUUAUCAUAUUGAAGAGAUAAGACUUAUUCUACUUGCCUCAACCAGUAGAACUAAGACCAGUGGGUACAAAUUUCUGGGAGACAGGUUUAGCUCAACAGAAGGAAGUUCUAACUAGAGGCACUAACCCAAUUGGAAUGGACUGAGUUCUUUUUAAGUAGCACUUGUCAAGGAAAAACUAAUCGAUAGGGAUAUCAUAGAAUGGCUCUUCUAGGUUGAAGACUGGUAUAGAUCAAAGCCGUGGGUUGUGAUCCCACAUGGAGUCAUAUAACAAUGUAGAGGUUGCAUAAUUAUGAUUUAUUAUCAGCUAUUUAAUCCGUGUACUUAUUUUGUAUUCUUAUAUACUUGGGCGAAAAGUCCUUGUGAGUGGAAAAAGUUUAAGAAGCAAUGGGUGAUCCUGGAGGGUUCUUUCCAGGUCUGGGAUCCUAUAAUUCAAAUACGCAAUAGAGAAAAUUGAUGUGAUAGCAAAGGAAAAAAAAAAUCCCAGAUGUUUAAUUUGGCUAAAAUAGAGUGAAUUUUAAAUUUGAUUUAAAAAGUCAAGUUGAGAAUGCAAUGAAAGAAGUGGGUCAUCUUCAAUAGUGAUCAUGAGGACCCUGUUGGUAAAAGUUCUCUUGAGUGCAAAGCUCUGUUAUUUGGCCUUCUCCCACACACAAGCUUUACACGAAUACUUUUUUUGGUCUUGGAUCAUCUGCAUUCUGAAAUUAUUGGCACUUGGAUCUUUGUUACUCAAAAUAAUGAGCAUGUAGAUCUUAAGUCUCAAGCCUUUUUCAUAACUUGGAAGAGAUAUGGAAUUGUUUUCACCUCCUUUUAAUUAGAAGCUGAAAGUCCAUGUGUUGUCAAGAGAAUGUCUUCCAGGGAAUUCUCUGAAAAUCCUGGUAGAUAAGCCCUCUCUUGACUAGGUAAUUUUAUAUUUACCUCUUUCCUAUGCAGACAAUGUGCUUUUACUAUGAUGUCAGUCCCAUAAAUUAUUUAUGGUGGUGAUGAAGAGAAAUGGAAGUCAGAGUUUCUACUGAAAAUACUAUAGUUACUUUGUGGAACACACUAGGUUUCCAUUUCUGAUCUUGACCAAGAGAUAUUCUUGUGGCCUGUUAAUGACAAGAGUCAACAUGGUGUAGUGCAAAGAACACUGCCUUUGGAGUCUAUCUCUGAUACUUGGAUCAAUUAAUCAA
Molecule: long non-coding RNA, 3440 nt
Organism: Sarcophilus harrisii (Tasmanian devil)
Lineage: Eukaryota; Metazoa; Chordata; Mammalia; Dasyuromorphia; Dasyuridae
Exons: 3
Source: RefSeq, a predicted model, not a curated record